Small nucleolar RNA from Salvia miltiorrhiza (redroot sage), 136 nucleotides. RefSeq annotates it as small nucleolar RNA Z247. The record is from RefSeq and is a predicted model, not a curated record. NCBI's taxonomy places the organism in Eukaryota, Viridiplantae, Streptophyta, Magnoliopsida, Lamiales, Lamiaceae. The transcript has a single exon.
GUUUCUGAUGAUGACCAAAUCAUGCAUACUCUUGCUGGUUUAGGUCCCGAAUACGAUUCAGUAAUGGUUACUAUAACUUCUAAACCAGAGGUUUGGACUCUUGGAGAUGUUAGCUCACUGCUACUGAGUUUUGAAA